This 85-nucleotide transfer RNA is filed under the name Desulfobulbaceae bacterium. Its description in RNAcentral is "tRNA-Leu". It matches the Rfam family "tRNA". From Rfam's summary of the family: Transfer RNA (tRNA) molecules are approximately 80 nucleotides in length. Their secondary structure includes four short double-helical elements and three loops (D, anti-codon, and T loops). Further hydrogen bonds mediate the characteristic L-shaped molecular structure. tRNAs have two regions of fundamental functional importance: the anti-codon, which is responsible for specific mRNA codon recognition, and the 3' end, to which the tRNAs corresponding amino acid is attached (by aminoacyl-tRNA synthetases). tRNAs cope with the degeneracy of the genetic code in two manners: having more than one tRNA (with a specific anti-codon) for a particular amino acid; and 'wobble' base-pairing, i.e. permitting non-standard base-pairing at the 3rd anti-codon position. Lineage: Bacteria; Pseudomonadati; Thermodesulfobacteriota; Desulfobulbia; Desulfobulbales; Desulfobulbaceae. The record is from RNAcentral.
GCCGAAGUGGUGGAAUUGGUAGACACGCUGUCUUGAGGGGGCAGUGGGGCGACUCGUGCCGGUUCGACUCCGGCCUUCGGCACCA